This is a non-coding RNA of Ictidomys tridecemlineatus (thirteen-lined ground squirrel), 421 nucleotides long. The record is from RefSeq and is a predicted model, not a curated record. Lineage: Eukaryota; Metazoa; Chordata; Mammalia; Rodentia; Sciuridae.
ACCUCCUGGGCUUCCUCCUCCUGGCGGGACCCAGCGUCCGGGCCAGAGUCCCUCUGGCAGCCCGGGUAAAGGCGCCUUCAGCAAGGUCAAGGCGCGGCCGGCCGGCACCUGGGGAUUUUUUCCAACCGAGCACGGGCUUUGCAAUCGCAUUGUUAAGGAUCAUGGCAGCGGCAGGAAAUCUGAACGGCCCCACAGCCCGUCAACGUGCUACAAGGCUGCAGCGGCGAAAGAAGGCAGAGAGAUGGAGAAAACAAACGCAGCAGAAGCAAAACUGCGGUCCGCGAAGGGAGAGACAGGGAACAGAAGCCAUACCCGCGUUCAUCCCCAUUCCAUCCCCAUUGGAACCGGGCAAGCCCAGGAAAAGGCACGUAAUGGUAGCCGCCCCCGGUAAAGGCCAGCAAUCUACUUGCUAACCCCUCAA